AUGUUGUUAAGAGAAAAUUGGUGCCAUCGUGCCCAUAUUCCCUCGCCUGCUAGAAUGGACCCAAAGCCAUCUUCUGUUGGGAUGUUUGGGAGCAGAGGCUGUAUCAUUUACAAGCUGUUCCAGUGUGCAGGAGUCCCUGGAGCAUACUUCAUCAAGGCAAGGGUGUGCGAAGAUGCCCCAGGUAGAAUUACAAAGAAAGACAGCCAAAGAGAAUACAGGACAACCUUUGUCAUUGGUGAUGGGGAUCUGAUUCUACUUGCCUGUGUUCUUAUGUACAGAAGUUACACUGAAGAUGCCAUUUGCACAAUUGGAGGAACACCUUUGGAGGAAGGGAAGAUUCCUAUAAGCUCAAACUUGCCAAAGUUUGGCAUUUUUCAUCAUUGCAUCCUCAUUUUCAUAAAGCUGAAUAAGCCCAGCAGCCCGACGGUCUGAUUAGGGGCUACAGGUCUUUGUCUGCUUGGUAGAGUUGAUGUUAUUGCAUUUGAACACUCCACCAGAAAUGUCAAAUUUCAAAACAAAGGGAAAAAAGAGGGAUUUCCAAAAGCAGCAGGUUUGGGACAUUGUCGGAUUUAAGUCUAGGUGAGAUGCCAGCUUGAGAGCUGCAACAUAGGCAUUAGCUUCAUCAGGAUCAAUAUUCUUUUUGAGCUCCUCAACACUGAAGAAAUCCUAUAGAAAUUUCUGGAUGUGGGGGAUAUGAAUGAAACCACCCAUCAAUAUGAGGUCUUGAAUCUCUGACAGAUCUAAUUUACUUGUAAAGGUUAAAAUUCAUGGUUGGACAAUGCUUAUAUUAUGUGGUAGUCAAUAUUUAUUAUAUCUCAAGUCAAAUUUAUUUACAAAAAUAUACAAAUAGAGAAGAAACGAUAAAGAAGAGAAAUGUGAAGGGGUUAGAGAGGUUUUCUAUCCUAUCAACUGAAAGGUUUUGCUCUGGGUCUGCUUAAAAGCUCUCAACCAGGAAAGCUGGUGAUGAGUAACCACGUGGCAUCCUCCAAGGUGGAAGCUAGUCUCUUAGGAAACUAGGAAAGGCGUCAACCUUUUCAUUCACCUAACAAAGUAGUCCAGGAGUCAGAGUCUAAGUUGAAUCCCAUGAUCCAAGCCACAUUCUCCAGCAAAGCUCCCUAGAAGACUCCCCAGUCAGAAGACUAUCUCUAAAAGACAAUCUCUUCAGACUAUCUUCUCAAAGACAAUCUGCUCUGAGGGAGUUUGGGACUUGCUUUUAUGGUGACUUCUUCUCCGUGCCCCUCUUCACAAAGGGCUAUAACAGUUUCUAAAUUGUCUGGCACUGCCCAGGGAGCAGUCUGUGGGAUCCACUUCUUACCUUCUGAAGGUUAAGUUCUCAUCUAAGCGUGUGAAUUUUCUAAAUCUCACCUUCUAGAGAGGUGAAUACUCAUAGGCUGUGAAUUCACAAAGUUGGUUUGUGAGCUCCUCCACCAAGUUCAAGUUUGUGUUGAUUCAACUAAGUAGGGGUACUCAGGAUAGACAAAGGGAAUAAAGGAUUCCCUUUCACAAAUGUAAACUCA
Molecule: long non-coding RNA, 1517 nt
Filed under: Monodelphis domestica (gray short-tailed opossum)
Lineage: Eukaryota; Metazoa; Chordata; Mammalia; Didelphimorphia; Didelphidae
Description: lncRNA (ENSMODG00000048888.1)
Source: RNAcentral